This 158-nucleotide small RNA is filed under the name Castor canadensis (American beaver). RNAcentral describes it as "7SK RNA (ENSCCNG00000004732.1)". It matches the Rfam family "7SK RNA", at positions 116 to 273 of the family's 331-position model. Rfam says of the family: 7SK was discovered as an abundant small nuclear RNA in the mid-70s but a possible function has only recently been suggested. Two independent studies have found that 7SK RNA binds the CDK9/cyclin T complex (known as elongation factor P-TEFb). The record is from RNAcentral. Lineage: Eukaryota; Metazoa; Chordata; Mammalia; Rodentia; Castoridae.
UUCCUCCCAAAGUUGCUUGGUGGAAGAGGAAAACCUUUCCAGAUAACAGGAAGACCAUUCUUCCCACAAGGGUAUACUAGUAGCUGCACUCCUCUGCUAGGCCCUCCAAACAUGAUUAACUCAGGAUUAACUACUAGAAAAAUGUAAGGCAUUGUUUC